GAUGAAGAACGUAGCGAAAUGCGAUAAGUAAUGUGAAUUGCAGAAUUCAGUGAAUCAUCGAAUCUUUGAACGCACAUUGCGCCCGCCAGUAUUCUGGCGGGCAUGCCUGUCUGAGCGUCAUUUCAACCCUCAUGCCCCUAGGGCGUGGUGUUGGGGAUCGGCCAAAGCCCGCGAGGGACGGCCGGCCCCUAAAUCUAGUGGCGGACCCGUCGUGGCCUCCUCUGCGAAGUAGUGCUAUUCCGCAUCGGAGAGCGAUGAGCCCCUGCCGUUAAACCCCCAACUUUCCAAGGUUGACCUCAGAUCAGGUAGGAAUACCCGCUGAACUUAAGCAUAUCAAUAAGCGGAGGA
RNAcentral lists this unclassified non-coding RNA (348 nucleotides) under soil metagenome. RNAcentral describes it as "partial contains 5.8S ribosomal RNA, internal transcribed spacer 2, and large subunit ribosomal RNA". The stretch from base 1 to 120 matches the Rfam family "5.8S ribosomal RNA", at positions 35 to 154 of the family's 154-position model. The record is from RNAcentral.